UACGAAGGGGGCUAGCGUUGUUCGGAAUUACUGGGCGUAAAGGGCGCGCAGGCGGUCCUUCAAGUCAGGCGUGAAGGCCCCGGGCUCAACCUGGGAAUCGCGCUUGAGACUGAGGGACUUGAGUUCGGGAGAGGAGAGCGGAAUUCCCAGUGUAGAGGUGAAAUGCGCAGAUAUCGGGAAGAACACCCGUGGCGAAGGCGGCUCUCUGGGACGGUACUGACGCUGAGACGCGAAAGCGUGGGGAGCGAACAGG
Molecule: ribosomal RNA, 253 nt
Filed under: uncultured bacterium
Lineage: Bacteria
Description: partial 16S ribosomal RNA
Rfam family: Bacterial small subunit ribosomal RNA
Source: RNAcentral